This 1491-nucleotide ribosomal RNA is filed under the name metagenome. Its description in RNAcentral is "bacterial LSU rRNA". It matches the Rfam family "Bacterial large subunit ribosomal RNA", at positions 1401 to 2925 of the family's 2925-position model. The record is from RNAcentral.
GUCGCAAGACGUAAGCGAUGGAUAACAGGUUUAGAUUCCUGUACCACGCAUUAUCAGAACUGUAGGGACGCAUGUGGAAAGCACGGGCCGGGAAUGGAAAGACCGGUACAAGCGGGGUAGGUGUACAAUAGGCAAAUCCGUUGUAUAAUCCGAAGACGUGAUGUGGAGCGAAAUAAAGUAGUGAAGCGUGUGAGCCAUGUGCCGAGAAAAGCUGCUAUUGUGUAAUGCGUGCCCGUACCGUAAACCGACACAGGUGGAUGAGGAGAGAAUCCUAAGGCCGGCGGAAGAAGCAUUGUUAAGGAAUUCGGCAAAAUGACCCCGUAACUUCGGGAGAAGGGGUGCCUGCGAGAGCAGGCCGCAGAGAAUAGGCUCAAGCAACUGUUUAGCAAAAACACAGGUCUAUGCGAAACCGAAAGGUGAAGUAUAUGGGCUGACGCCUGCCCGGUGCUGGAAGGUUAAGAGGAGAGGUUAGCUUCGGCGAAGCUUUGAAUUUAAGCCCCAGUAAACGGCAGCCGUAACAAUAACGGUCCUAAGGUAGCGAAAUUCCUUGUCGGGUAAGUUCCGACCCGCACGAAAGGCGUAAUGAUUUGAGCACUGUCUCGACAAUGCAUCCGGUGAAAUUGAAGUACCAGUGAAGAUGCUGGUUACCCGCGCCAGGACGGAAAGACCCCAUGGAGCUUUACUCCAGUUUGAUACUGGGAUUCGGUACUGCAUGUACAGGAUAGGUGGGAGACGAAGAAGGAUGACGCCAGUCUGUCCGGAGUCGCUGUUGGGAUACCACCCCUGUAGUACUGGGUUUCUAACCAGUUGCCAUGAACUGGCAAUGGGACAAUGUCAGGCGGGGAGUUUGACUGGGGCGGUCGCCUCCGAAAGGGUAUCGGAGGCGCUCAAAGGUUCCCUCAGAAUGGUUGGAAACCAUUUGAAGAGUGCAAAGGCAGAAGGGAGCUUGACUGCGACACCGACGGGUGGAGCAGGUACGAAAGUAGGACUUAGUGAUCCGGUGGUAUAAAGUGGGAUUGCCAUCGCUCAACGGAUAAAAGCUACCCUGGGAUAACAGGCUUAUCACUCCCAAGAGUUCACAUCGACGGAGUGGUUUGGCACCUCGAUGUCGGCUCAUCGCAUCCUGGGGCUGUAGCAGGUCCCAAGGGUUGGGCUGUUCGCCCAUUAAAGCGGUACGCGAGCUGGGUUCAGAACGUCGUGAGACAGUUCGGUCCCUAUCCGGCGCGGGCGGAGGAUAUUUGAGAGGAGCUGUCCUUAGUACGAGAGGACCGGGAUGGACGGACCACUGGUGUAUCUGUUGUCGACCAACGGCAUGGCAGAGUAGCCAAGUCUGGAAGGGAUAAACGCUGAAGGCAUCUAAGCGUGAAGCCCCCCUCAAGAUGAGAUAUCCCUCCUUCGGGAGUAAGACCCCUUGAAGACUACAAGGUAGAUAGGGCAGAGGUGGAAGCAUGGCAACAUGUGGAGCUGACUGUUACUAAUAGGUCGAGGGCC